This 2887-nucleotide long non-coding RNA is filed under the name Mus musculus (house mouse). Its description in RNAcentral is "RIKEN cDNA C030023E24 gene (C030023E24Rik)". Lineage: Eukaryota; Metazoa; Chordata; Mammalia; Rodentia; Muridae. The record is from RNAcentral.
AUAAAAUAGACAAAUAUUUCAUUCUUUUCUAUUUUAUUGGUUUUGUGUUAUAUUUUAGUAGGAUUAUAAAAUUAUUUUCUCAUAUUUCCUUCUAAUAAUUGUAUGUCUUUCUUGCUUGAUACUUUAGACUCCUUAAAUUUUGCUUUCUUUUGUGUGUCUGGGUUUACUGAGAAAUAGGAAGUUAAGUUUUCUUUUUCAGAAAAGAUAACCAGAUCUCCAAAUGUCAUUAUUUCUACACUGAACUGAAAUUCUAUCAUAAAAUAUAUAGGUGAGGUUUUUUUUGUUGUUGUUGUGGAAAGUAUUUAACUAUUAUUGAGGUUAGGACCUCAUUGAUUUAUUUGCAGGAGCCUGAUAUUUUUAAGUAUGACACCAAUGUUGUUUCCUUCAUUAUUCAUCUUUUCUCUGAUUUCCCCCUUUUUGUGCAUAUGUGAUGUUAGAUGAAUUUUAGCAUCAACUUCCAUUGAAACAUACUUUUGAAAUGCCUGAGAGCUUUCAAGUUAUGGCACAAGUUGGCACAUUUAGAGUCAUGAAUUUGUAUCCAGAUACUUAUUUUCUUUCUCCGUUUGUCUAAUUUUGUUGUAGUCACAAAACAGUAAUAGGCCUUUUCUUUGUUUUUUUUUUCCUCUAAAUACGUAACUGUUAUUCUAAUGAAUGAUACUACAUCUUUUACUAUAUACAUAAUAGUUUUAUGCAUGUAUAUAAUUUGUAACUAUAAAGUCAGGAUAAUUAGUAUCAUCAUCUCCUCAAGUAGUUCUUUGUUUUGGCCAGGUUUCUGUUCUGUGUAUGCUUAUUUUUGAACAUACUGAUUGACUCUGUGUGACUGUUGUUGGUAGUAUUACAGUUGCAUUUUAAAAAUUUAUUAUUUAUUGUCUUAACAUUUAUGUUCAGUCAUCAUAUUUAGCUAUUUCUUCUUCUAAUAUUGUAUUUCUUUAGUUGAAUAUUUUUAAUUCUGAUGCACAUAAUCAUGUACAUUUUAAUAAUGAAACUUUAGCCUGAUAUUUUUAUAUGGUGUUUCCUUAUUACAACAUUAGUAAAGACUUUAUGACUCUUAGAAUAGUGCACACUUAUAUUGUUGAAUAAAGAACAGUAAUCUCUUUUAUUUUAUUUUUACCUUAAUAGAAAUUUGUUAGUGUUUCAUUUACAGAAAUAAUUUCCAUUGAUUCCAAUAUAUGCUUCUUUUCAUGUUAUAUAAAUGUCCUUCCAUUCUUUUGAUUUAUUAGGAAUAUGUAUAGAAUGAUACCAUUUUUUCUGGUGUCUUUGCAAAUGAUUAUCAGGAUAAAGUAUAGUUAUUCUCUUUAAUUUAUUAAUGUAAUUACUGUAAUUAACUGAUCUACUUUACUAUUCUAGGACUAAAAAUCUAACUUGGUAGUAGUACUUUGGUAUGUCUCUGUUUCAUUUAAAAGAUAAAACUCUAUAUGAACAGCUGCUUAUAGAAAGCACCUCUUUCCCUUUCCUAUAACAUAACAUAACACACUGGGGAGAGAGAAGAUUGUGCAGGGAUCAGAGUACUGGUCUUCCGGGCAUUGCCUUGCUGCCUUUGGAGUUAAGAUCCCAGUAUACAUACAGCCCAUCUAUAUGCAGUAGUUUCAUACUCUGCCUUUCACCACACCAUCUGUAUGUCACUGUGUUUGUGUAAUGCAGUGCUGGGAUGGAGCCUGGCCAGAGCUUCCUGUAUGCGGAAUAUACGUUCUGCCUCCUGAGUCACAUACUCAUUCCCUCGAAUUAUAUUACAAAGAUAGCUAUUUUAUCUCAGUUAGCUUUCGGUUGGGGUUUUCUUUUUCCGUCCUUUAAAAAAUUUCUCUAAUUUCUACUCAUGCUAUUUCACAUAUGGAGAAAGUAUCUCAAUUGUAAAUAAUAUAAUAUAAAUAUAUAAUAUGGAUAAUUUCUUUGCAUCUUAUAUGUAAUAAAUUUUCCCAUAGACUAUUGAUGUAUUUUAUUUUUGUUAAGGUAGUAUUUUAUAUUGCUCUAUAGUAAAUCAAACAUAUUAUUUGUUCAGUUUUCUAUUUUUGUUUGCUUGAUUUAAAAUAAAAUAAGUGUAAACUCUUCUAUUUAAUUAUUUUGUCAAAAUUUCCUCUUUUAAAUGUCCCCUUUUCAAAUAAAACAUAAUACAGUAUUUUUACCUUAUGAAAAAUUAAGCUUUUAUUAAUAGAUAAUUAACACAAUGAAUAACAGGUAUGACUUAGAUUUGUCAUGUCUCUUGAUAGUCCACAUCAUAAAAACUUGUAAUCAAAAUUGUUAGUAUUGGGGGAAAAAGGAAACUGAGAUUUUAUUUCAUCUGAGAAUAUUUGUCACUGGAUUCAUAAUUUGAAAGUUCACAUUAAUUUUACUUGAUACUAUUUGCUCAUAAUUUAUUUUGGAAUUUUGCUAUUUUUUCCUUUCUACAUCUGUCAAUGUAUAUGACACCUUUUAUUUUUGAAGUUAUAAUUACUUCCUUCCCUUUCCUUCAUCCAAACCCUCCCACUCUCUUUCAAAUUCAUGGUGUGUUUUUUCAUAUAUAUAUAUAUAUAUAUAUAUACACACAUAUAUACACACACAUAUAUAUACAUAUAUACACAUACAUAUAUAUGUAUAUGUGUGUAUAUGUAUAUAUGAAUAUAUGUAAUAUAGGAAUAUAUAAUAUAGGAAUAUAUAUAAUAUGGGAAUAUAUGUAAUGUAUAUUCCUAUAUACAACCUCUUCAGUCUAUAUGUUACUUGUAUAUGAGUUUUCAGGGCAGACCAUUUGGUACUGGAUUUCUUUUAUCUAUAUUUAUAAGUUUUAAGUAUCACUUUUAUUGUAAUGUGAUUAUAUUGAUAUAUGUAUAUGUUUAUUUAUAUACCUUAAUAUUAUAAUUUUUACACUAAAGAUGUUUAUAAUAAAACUAUCUCCUUUUAAAAAAAAAAAAAAAAA